RNAcentral lists this ribosomal RNA (429 nucleotides) under Pseudomonadota bacterium. Its description in RNAcentral is "Proteobacteria bacterium partial 16S ribosomal RNA". It matches the Rfam family "Bacterial small subunit ribosomal RNA", at positions 355 to 776 of the family's 1533-position model. Lineage: Bacteria; Pseudomonadati; Pseudomonadota. The record is from RNAcentral.
UGGGGAAUAUUGGACAAUGGGCGAAAGCCUGAUCCAGCCAUGCCGCGUGUGUGAAGAAGGUCUUCGGAUUGUAAUGCACUUUAAGUUGGGAGGAAGGGCAGUAAGCGAAUACCUUGCUGUUUUGACGUUACCGCCAGAAUAAGCACCGGCUAACUCUGUGCCAGCAGCCGCGGUAAUACAGAGGGUGCAAGCGUUAAUCGGAAUUACUGGGCGUAAAGCGCGCGUAGGUGGUUCGUUAAGUUGAAUGUGAAAGCCCCGGGCUCAACCUGGGAACUGCAUCCAAAACUGGCGAGCUAGAGUAGGGCAGAGGGUGGUGGAAUUUCCUGUGUAGCGGUGAAAAGCGUAGAUAUAGGAAGGAACACCAGUGGCGAAGGCGACCACCUGGGCUCAUACUGACACUGAGGUGCGAAAGCGUGGGGAGCAAACAGG